CGGCAACAGCUCAAAUUUGAAAUCUGGCUCUCUUUGGGGGUCCGAGUUGUAAUUUGCAGAGGAUGCUUUGGCAUUGGCGGCGGUCUAAGUUCCUUGGAACAGGACGUCAUAGAGGGUGAGAAUCCCGUAUGUGACUGGAUACCUAUGCUCAUGUGAAGCUCUUUCGAC
This 168-nucleotide ribosomal RNA is filed under the name Sclerotiniaceae sp. RNAcentral's name for it is "partial large subunit ribosomal RNA". It matches the Rfam family "Eukaryotic large subunit ribosomal RNA", at positions 99 to 261 of the family's 3401-position model. Lineage: Eukaryota; Fungi; Ascomycota; Leotiomycetes; Helotiales; Sclerotiniaceae. The record is from RNAcentral.